GACCGAUAGUGAACCAGUACCGUGAGGGAAAGGCGAAAAGAACCCCGGCGAGGGGAGUGAAAAAGAACCUGAAACCGUGUACGUACAAGCAGUGGGAGCAUCCUUUUGGGUGUGACUGCGUACCUUUUGUAUAAUGGGUCAGCGACUUAUAUUCUGUAGCAAGGUUAACCGUAUAGGGGAGCCGAAGGGAAACCGAGUCUUAACUGGGCG
Molecule: ribosomal RNA, 210 nt
Filed under: Citrobacter freundii
Lineage: Bacteria; Pseudomonadati; Pseudomonadota; Gammaproteobacteria; Enterobacterales; Enterobacteriaceae
Description: partial 23S ribosomal RNA
Rfam family: Bacterial large subunit ribosomal RNA
Source: RNAcentral